GACGAACGCUGGCGGCGUGCUUAACACAUGCAAGUCGAACGGAAAGGCCCUGCUUUUGUGGGGUGCUCGAGUGGCGAACGGGUGAGUAACACGUGAGUAACCUGCCCUUGACCUUGGGAUAACUUCAGGAAACUGGGGCUAAUACCGGAUAGGAGCUCCUGCUGCAUGGUGGGGGUUGGAAAGUUUCGGCGGUUGGGGAUGGACUCGCGGCUUAUCAGCUUGUUGGUGGGGUAGUGGCUUACCAAGGCUUUGACGGGUAGCCGGCCUGAGAGGGUGACCGGCCACAUUGGGCCUGCGAUACGGCCCAGACUCCUACGGGAGGCAGCAGUGGAGAAUAUUGCACAAUGGGCGGAAGCCUGAUGCAGCAACGCCGCGUGCGGGAUGACGGCCUUCGGGUUGUAAACCGCUUUCGCCUGUGACGAAGCGUGAGUGACGGUAAUGGGUAAAGAAGCACCGGCUAACUACGUG
Molecule: ribosomal RNA, 468 nt
Filed under: uncultured bacterium
Lineage: Bacteria
Description: partial 16S ribosomal RNA
Rfam family: Bacterial small subunit ribosomal RNA
Source: RNAcentral